UGGUGGGGUAACGGCCCACCAAGCCGAAGAUCCGUACGGGCCAUGAGAGUGGGAGCCCGGAGAUGGACCCUGAGACACGGGUCCAGGCCCUACGGGGCGCAGCAGGCGCGAAACCUCCGCAAUGCGGGAAACCGCGACGGGGUCAGCCGGAGUGCCGAUGCUUGCAUCGGCUGUCGGGGAGCCUAAAAAGCUCCCCAUAGCAAGGGCCGGGCAAGGCCGGUGGCAGCCGCCGCGGUAAUACCGGCGGCCCGAGUGGCGGCCACUAUUAUUGGGCUUAAAGCGUCCGUAGCCGGGUUGGUUAGUCUCCCGGGAAAUCUGGCCGCUUAACGGUCAGAAUUCCGGGAGAUACUGCCAGCCUAGGGACCGGGAGAGGCCGAGGGUAUUCCCGGAGUAGGGGUGAAAUCCUAUAAUCCCGGGAGGACCACCUGUGGCGAAGGCGCUCGGCUGGAACGGGUCCGACGGUGAGGGACGAAGGCCAGGGGAGCAAACCGGAUUAGAU
This 499-nucleotide ribosomal RNA is filed under the name uncultured microorganism. Its description in RNAcentral is "bacterial SSU rRNA". It matches the Rfam family "Archaeal small subunit ribosomal RNA", at positions 234 to 734 of the family's 1478-position model. The record is from RNAcentral.